Molecule: ribosomal RNA, 512 nt
Filed under: uncultured bacterium
Lineage: Bacteria
Description: partial 16S ribosomal RNA
Rfam family: Bacterial small subunit ribosomal RNA
Source: RNAcentral
GACGAACGCUGGCGGCGUGCUUAACACAUGCAAGUCGAACGAAAAGAGGGAAAGAGCUUGCUCUUUCCGGAAUUGAGUGGCAAACGGGUGAGUAACACGUAAACAACCUGCCUUCAGGAUGGGGACAACAGACGGAAACGACUGCUAAUACCGAAUAAGUACCAAGAGCCGCAUGGCCCAUGGAAGAAAAGGUGGCCUCUACCUGUAAGCUAUCGCCUGAAGAGGGGUUUGCGUCUGAUUAGCUGGUUGGAGGGGUAACGGCCCACCAAGGCGACGAUCAGUAGCCGGUCUGAGAGGAUGAACGGCCACACUGGAACUGAGACACGGUCCAGACUCCUACGGGAGGCAGCAGUGGGGAAUCUUCCGCAAUGGGCGAAAGCCUGACGGAGCAACGCCGCGUGAGUGAUGACGGCCUUCGGGUUGUAAAACUCUGUGAUCCGGGACGAAAAGGCAGAGUGCGAAGAACAAACUGCAUUGACGGUACCGGAAAAGCAAGCCACGGCUAACUACGU